Molecule: ribosomal RNA, 159 nt
Filed under: Endococcus fusigera
Lineage: Eukaryota; Fungi; Ascomycota; Dothideomycetes; Dothideales
Description: 5.8S ribosomal RNA
Rfam family: 5.8S ribosomal RNA (bases 70-159)
About the family: 5.8S ribosomal RNA (5.8S rRNA) is a component of the large subunit of the eukaryotic ribosome.
Source: RNAcentral
CGUGUCUGCCAGUAGCCUUGUCUAAAUUUACUUGACUCUUGUCGUCUAAGUACAAACGUAAAUCGUCAAAACUUUCAACAACGGAUCUCUUGGUUCUGGCAUCGAUGAAGAACGCAGCGAAAUGCGAUAAGUAAUGCGAAUUGCAGAAUUCAGUGAGUC